Long non-coding RNA from Apis cerana (Asiatic honeybee), 2275 nucleotides. RefSeq lists it as uncharacterized. NCBI's taxonomy places the organism in Eukaryota, Metazoa, Arthropoda, Insecta, Hymenoptera, Apidae. The record is from RefSeq and is a predicted model, not a curated record.
UAACAUCACAUGUCCACCAAGAGAGUAUCUUCGUAUAAAGAUCAAAAAAUCGCAGUUGAACGAUCUGGGAAAAAAUCUGUGAAAAAUUUCGUUCGAAUGUCACGAUUGAUUCACGUAAUACACAUUUCAUAACGUGUUCGAUUGAUCGAGAUAAUUUUCGCGUCUCGCCUUGCGACAUCGAUCAUGAAAUACUUGGGUAAAUAUGACACUUUGUCGUGCAGGUAGCAUUACUUCGCGUUUAAUUGGGUCGAGAGCGUGAGUUUGUGAGGUUAGGUUGCAUGGGAAAAUUAUGAUAGAUUACGCGCAAUUGGGAAUAGAAUUAUGUAUAUAUUAAUUUAUCGUUAAGAAAAUAGCAUCCUUUUAGAAAAGAUUUUGGAUAGUAGAAGAGCAAUUGUGUUGAAAUGAUUAUUUUUCUUGCUCGAUAAAUCUAAUCCUCGAUAAUAAAUCCUUGAUAUUUAAUAUUUAAAUCAAUGAUUUGAUAAUGUAAAUUCUAGUAAUUUGAAGUUUGUCACUAACCCUAAUAAUCUAGGAACCGAUAAUCUCUCUUCCAGUCUUGAUAAUUCAGAUCCUAAUUACCUAGCUUUCAAUUACGCUUAAUAACGUAUCAAUAUCAAUUCAGGUACCAACAAAAUAGAUUGAUAAUUUAGGUUAGGUUCUGAUAAUCUAAAUCUUUAUCUCUAAACUCUGAUCUAAUCAACAAUAUAAUCUAAGUCCUAAUAAUUUAAAUUUUGAUGACCUGACUUUAAUAAUUUAAUAUAGAUCUUCAAUUAUUUAGAUUUCCUGAUAAUCUAAGUCAUAAUAAUUAUAAUAACUUAGGUUCUAAUGACUUAACCUCAAUAAUCUAGGCAUCAAUAUUUUAUCUUUUAAUAAUCUAAAUAAUUUAGGUUCUGAUAAUCUCAGUCUUAAUAAUCUAAGUCCUAAUGACCUAACGCUAAUAAUCUAAACAUAUGAUAAUUUAUCUUCCAAUAAUCUAAAUACCGAUAAUUUGUUUCCCAUUAAUUAAAUUCCUCGAUUAUCUAAGUCUAAUAAUUUAAGUUCCAAUAACUCAAGUUCCUAAUUUAACCUAACUUAAUCUAAUCUAGACUACUGUAUUAGUAAUCUAACUUCCAAUGAUUUAGGUUACCAAUAAUUUAAAUUCCAAUAAUUUAAAACUCAAAAAAUUUAGUUCUAAAUAAUAUAAAUCCGAUAAUCUAAAUUUCAAUAGCUUAGAUCUUGAUAAUUUAGGUUUCAAUCAUUUAAAUUCUAAUAAUCUAAUUUUAAUUAUCUAAAUUUUUAAUAACUAAGAUAAUUCUUUAUGAUCUAAUCCUUAAUUAAUUCUUAGUUCUUAAUUAUGCAAGUGCACCAAAUGGUGCAUCUUUAGUGUUCAUUGAUUUAAUUUUUAAUAGUUUAGUUCUUAAUAAUCUAGACCUACUAACUUAGACUCCAAUGAUUUAUGACUACACUUCAAUAAUCUAAUCUUCAACUUAAUUUCUAAUAAUCUAUUUUCCGAUAAUCUAAUUAUAAUAAUCAUUUUUCAAUAAUUCCAAAUAUUUUCUCUAUUUUUAAGAAAUAAAUUUCAGAUUGAGAAAAACAAAGAUGAAUCGGGAUAUCAAAGAUAUCUCUAAGAGAAAGGAAAAAUUGUAUUAAACAGAUCGAUCGAAAUUGGAACAUGUAGUGGUAGGUGUCGCACGUGUCGCCCACUCGUGUGUCGCCACCGAAUUACGUAAGAGUCAAAGUCGUUACUCAUUGGCCGAGUCGUUCAUGCAUGAUUCAUCCUUUAAUCCGGCGACCGGCUGUUAAUAACGGCCGAGUUUAUUUUAAACCAACGUCCUGACACUGGAUCCUACUUGAUCGAAACAAUUCGAAGGCGAUCGACCUGCGGCAAAAAUUUUCAUCUCUCUGUCUGUCUUGAUUCACCUCUCUGUAAAUAGGUGUGAUUUUCUGUAGUCAUGGAAAUUAAAUAAAAAUUAAAUCAAAAUGAACUAGUAGAAAUGGCAAAUCUGAUUACGACAUCAAUAAAAAUUAUAGAAAUCAGGUUUAAAUCCGAAUAAUUUUGAUCAAUUUUUUCCAGUUUUUUCGAGGGAGAGGCUCGACGAAGAGAUAGUUCUCAAUAGCCAUAAUCGAUCCACGUGAAAGACGAGCACGAUGAACAGUUUAAUUGGCUUCGACUUGGUUCAAUUUGAUGGGUCUCGAUGUGGUCAAUAAUUAAACGGUGAAUGUUCUGCUUUAAUUUAUAUACAGCAUGUUAUAGUUCAAUCUUUCUCUAAUAGAAAUAAAAGUACUUGUCUUUUUCUUA